Monodelphis domestica (gray short-tailed opossum) is the source of this 2753-nucleotide non-coding RNA. The record is from RefSeq and is a predicted model, not a curated record. NCBI's taxonomy places the organism in Eukaryota, Metazoa, Chordata, Mammalia, Didelphimorphia, Didelphidae.
CUCCCCAACGGACGCGCGCUCACUUCCGCCGGAACCCUGUCCCCUUCUUCUCCCCCCCACCCCACCUUCCGAGGCCGUUUGAAAUUUCCUUUUCCUCUAUGCUCGCAGCAACCCCCCCUCCCCGUCCAAUCCCCGUUAAGGCCUCGUCCUUCUUAACCACGCCCACCUGCUCCACUGGCCGCGGGUUGAGUCCGAGAGAGGAGGGUGAAUAUCGCACCCUUGUCCCAGAUAACAGACUCCACCUCGCGCCCCCCCACCUCACCAAACUAGGAGGGCGCACGCGACCCGAAAAAAAAAAGGCAGGAGGGGGAGGGGAGAGUUAACCUCCGAGGCGCGCGCUUCUCGCCUCAAUUAACGAACCCCGAGAUCGGGCCCAGUCGGUCCGCACAAGCAGAGACUGAGGGAGGGAAGGAAAUGAGAAUGGGAAAAGAAAGGAAAAUUCAAGGAAAGCAGCCCUACCCCUCCUCGCCAUUACCCAAGGAGAAUAAGGCUGGGAAGAAGGGGAGAAAAGAACAAGAAGACCGGGAUACAUUGCAAGAUAUGCUGGUUGACCUCAGGUUUCUUUUGAUUUGCAUUUCUUUUAUUAUCAAGAUUUGGAACAUUCCUUCAUAAGAUUGUGUUGAUUCUUGCUCGGCAAACAUUUUUUAGAAUAAAAGAAAAAGCCGUUGUAACGAAGAAACUUAACCAACCAAAAUGAACCUACACGAUGGCCAUGUCCAUAAAUGUAUCUUUUUCUAUGCCUUGUGUCCAUCACCUUUCUAUCAGGAGGCUGAGUCUCUUAUACUUCCAGCAGCAAAGGAAACCAAAUGGACUGUGUCCCCUUCAAGGACCAUCCCAGGCUGUACCACAGAAGAAGGGGAAAAAAGAAAGACCAAGGGUUAAAGGGAAAGGAUGGAGAAGAGAUUCCACCUGCAACUGCAGGGGAUGUUCAUUCCAUCAAGUCUAUGGACAUGGCAGCCUGGCCUCUUCCAAUAGCCCCCAUACCUCUCUCUACCCACACAAAACAAGGGCAAAUUCUACCACAAACUGGAAGCCAGACGACUGAGAAAUAAGUGAGACGAGAGUUAAAUCGGUGGGUAUGGACAGCUUUUUCUGGGAUUUUGGUUAUAAAUGGAAGCAGAGAUAUAUGAGGAUAGCUUGAGAGGUAAAGGCUGCUAUUUUUUAAAGUGGAAAUUCUGGGCAUGUUUGUAAGGAGGAAGGAAGGACUUAGUGCAUAAAGAUGGGCUUCUCCUGUGACUUUGAACAUCAAGCAAAUCUUAACCAAGUCAGCCUUGGAAAGAUUUUUUCUCCUUUGAAUUCCAGUAUCAUAUACAGUCUCAAACACCCACCGGUGUAAAUCACGUUUUGUGUUUUUGUUUGUUAUCCUUCUCUAGGUGUAUCAUUCCUCUGAGGAGUUUAUAAACUUCUUCAGGGAAAAUAGAAAAAGAGGCCAUGUCCAAUAUAUGCAUAAGUUAAGACAUCACCCCAUGAUAGUCCUCUUCAAAAAUGAAGGAUGGGAAUUGAGAGCCAGGCCUGGAGACAAGUGGUCCUUGGUUCAAAUCUGGCCUCAGAUACUUCCUAGUUGUGAGACCCUGGACAACUCACUCAAUCCCAUUUGCCUAGCCCUUACUACUCUUCUGCCUUGGUACCAAUACUUGGUAUUGAUUCUAAAACAAAAAGUAAGGUUAUUUUUUAAAUUAAGAGGCUACUAUGUGCCUGGCCCUAUGCUAAAUCAUUGCAAAUAUGAUCUCAUUUGAUUCUUCCAAUAAUCCUAUGAGGUAGGUUUUAUGGUCCCCAUUUUAUAGUUGAAGAAACAGAGGCAAACAGGCUUAAGUGACUUGUCAGGAGUCAGUCAGUGUCUGGGGUCAGAUCUGAACUCAGGAAGAUGAGUCUUCUGACUCUAGGCCAAACGCUCUGCUACCAAAUUAUCCUUGGUAAGACCUUAACGUCCCCUAAAGCUUCCUGUAUCUCUCUUCCCCUUUUAAGCCACAUAUCUAAAACAGCUGUCUAUAUUUAUUGCCUCUGCUUCUCCUCUUCUCACUUAUUUCUCAGCCUACCACUCAAUUUUAACUGCCUUCUCCAAAGUUACCAAUAAGCUCUUAAUAACCCACUCUGAUGGCCUUUUCUCAAUCCUCCCCAUUCUCAAUAUUUCUGCUGAAUUUAACAUCAUUAACCUCCUGGAUUCUUCCUCUUCUCUGGGCUCUCAGGACACCUUCCUCUCUUAGUUGCCCUCCUACCUCCCUUGGGAAAUCCAUCUCACAACCCCUAAUUUUCAGUAUACCCAAAUGCCCCUUGUCCUCUCUCUUCUCUUCAUUCUCAGGGACCUCCAUGGCUCGCAUGGGUUUGGUUAUCAUUCCAUGCAGAUGAGUUCCAGAAUAAGGUAUGUGAGCUCCAGUUGCACACCUCAAACCGAAGAUUAGAUAUUUCACUUUUUUAAAUAGCAAAUUUCCACAUCAGUUUUCUGAUUGUGAGUUUAGACUCACAGAACCACGGAAUCCUCCUCUUUCCCUCUGUGAGGCUAAGUCCCCUGCUUGGGUUCACACGGGGCACGAGGGUCAGAGCUGCUAGUUGCUGACACAGGGAGUGAUGUACACACAUAGAGAAUAUGAGGCAGAUACAGGCGUGUUGUUUUUCGUCCUUUGUUUUCAAGCUCUUACAGACUUUUAUAAAGGGAGGCAGAGUUGUACAAAGUCGUCAACCUCACUCUCUUGUCCGGAGUCAUCAAAGUCCAGUGGCAGAUCAAGAGUCAUGGACGCAGGAGGAAAUUCUUUUGU